This 1046-nucleotide ribosomal RNA is filed under the name Dictyota crenulata. Its description in RNAcentral is "LSU rRNA". It matches the Rfam family "Eukaryotic large subunit ribosomal RNA", at positions 84 to 1102 of the family's 3401-position model. The record is from RNAcentral. Lineage: Eukaryota; Phaeophyceae; Dictyotales; Dictyotaceae.
UAACGGCGAGUGAAGCGGGAAGAGCUCACGUUGUGAAUCUGGCCCUCGGGCCCGAACUGUACACUGGAGAGGCGAGGCCAGCCGCUGUCCGCGGCCAAGUCUGAUUGGAAAUGAGCAUCAAGGAGGGUGACAAUCCCGUCCAUGCCGCGGUAUCGAUCAGCGCGCGUCCGGCCCGCUUUCGACGAGUCGAGUUGCUUGGGAUUGCAKCUCAAAGAGGGUGGUAAACUCCAUCCAAAGCUAAACACGGGGGGGAGACCGAUAGCGAACAAGUACCGUGAGGGAAAGAUGCAAAGAACUUUGAAAAGAGAGUUAAAGAGUGCCUGAAAUUGCUGGAAGGGAAGCGAAGGAAAGAGGUGUGCGGUUGCCCGGGCGCCAACCCCUACCUGUUCGCAGGUGGGGGUAGGCCGCCCGGCCGCGGUCAGGGGUAGCGCCGGGCUCGGGGGAAGAGCCGUCGGGGAUCGGUAGGCGUGCCGCUUCGGUGGGGCGUUGUCAGGCCCCGGUGGUGGUGGUGUGUCCAUGCCAAUGGAUGCAUCGAUUGCCCUGAGCCCGGCCCCCUUCUGGCGGUCGCGGCUUUUCUUCACCCCGUCUUGAAACACGGACCAAGGAGUCUAGCGUGGACGCGAGUAGAGGGGUGUCCAAACCCCCUUGCGCAAUGAAGGUGAACGCCGGUGGGAGGYAGUGCUCGUUGCUGCCAGCACCAUCGACCGAGCGUGCUCCUCCGGGGGCAAGGCUUGAGUGUGAGCGUGCAUGCUGGGACCCGAAAGAUGGUGAACUAUGCCUGAAUAGGGCGAAGCCAGGGGAAACUCUGGUGGAGGCUCGUAGCGAUUCUGACGUGCAAAUCGAUCGUGAGAUUUGGGUAUAGGGGCGAAAGACUAAUCGAACCAUCUAGUAGCUGGUUCCCUCCGAAAUUUCCCUCAGGAUAGCAGCGGCCGAGUUGGACAGUUUUAUCAGGUAAAGCGAAUGAUUAGAGGCUGCGGGGGAGUAGCUCCCUCGCCCUAUUCUCAAACUUUAAAUGGGUAAGGAGCUGGGGUCGCUUGGUUGGACCC